Molecule: ribosomal RNA, 658 nt
Filed under: uncultured Actinomycetes bacterium
Lineage: Bacteria; Bacillati; Actinomycetota; Actinomycetes
Description: bacterial SSU rRNA
Rfam family: Bacterial small subunit ribosomal RNA
Source: RNAcentral
CUAGAUUCGCGGCCUAUCAGCUUGUUGGUGGGGUAGUGGCCUACCAAGGCGACGACGGGUAGCCGGCCUGAGAGGGCGACCGGCCACACUGGGACUGAGACACGGCCCAGACUCCUACGGGAGGCAGCAGUGGGGAAUAUUGCGCAAUGGGCGAAAGCCUGACGCAGCGACGCCGCGUGAGGGAUGACGGCCUUCGGGUUGUAAACCUCUUUCAGCUCCGACGAAGCCUUCGGGUGACGGUAGGGGCAGAAGAAGCACCGGCCAACUACGUGCCAGCAGCCGCGGUAAUACGUAGGGUGCAAGCGUUGUCCGGAAUUAUUGGGCGUAAAGAGCUCGUAGGCGGUUUGUCGCGUCGACUGUGAAAACUCAGGGGCUCAACUCCGAGCUUGCAGUUGAUACGGGCAGACUAGAGUUCGGCAGGGGAGACUGGAAUUCCUGGUGUAGCGGUGAAAUGCGCAGAUAUCAGGAGGAACACCGGUGGCGAAGGCGGGUCUCUGGGCCGAUACUGACGCUGAGGAGCGAAAGCGUGGGGAGCGAACAGGAUUAGAUACCCUGGUAGUCCACGCUGUAAACGUUGGGCGCUAGGUGUGGGGGCCAUUCCACGGUCUCUGUGCCGCAGCUAACGCAUUAAGCGCCCCGCCUGGGGAGUACGGAAUCG